This 496-nucleotide ribosomal RNA is filed under the name uncultured bacterium. Its description in RNAcentral is "partial 16S ribosomal RNA". It matches the Rfam family "Bacterial small subunit ribosomal RNA", at positions 28 to 506 of the family's 1533-position model. The record is from RNAcentral.
GACGAACGCUGGCGGCGUGCCUAAUACAUGCAAGUUGAGCGCUGAAGGUUGGUACUUGUACCGACUGGAUGAGCAGCGAACGGGUGAGUAACGCGUGGGGAAUCUGCCUUUGAGCGGGGGACAACAUUUGGAAACGAAUGCUAAUACCGCAUAAAAACUUUAAACACAAGUUUUAAGUUUGAAAUAUGCAAUUGCAUCACUCAAAGAUGAUCCCGCGUUGUAUUAGCUAGUUGGUGAGGUAAAGGCUCACCAAGGCGAUGAUACAUAGCCGACCUGAGAGGGUGAUCGGCCACAUUGGGACUGAGACACGGCCCAAACUCCUAAGGGAGGCAGCAGUAGGGAAUCUUCGGCAAUGGACGAAAGUCUGACCGAGCAACGCCGCGUGAGUGAAGAAGGUUUUCGGAUCGUAAAACUCUGUUGGUAGAGAAGAACGUUGGUGAGAGUGGAAAGCUCAUCAAGUGACGGUAACUACCCAGAAAGGGACGGCUAACUACGU